RNAcentral lists this ribosomal RNA (468 nucleotides) under uncultured bacterium. RNAcentral's name for it is "partial 16S ribosomal RNA". It matches the Rfam family "Bacterial small subunit ribosomal RNA", at positions 28 to 507 of the family's 1533-position model. The record is from RNAcentral.
GACGAACGCUGGCGGCGUGCUUAACACAUGCAAGUCGAACGGAAAGGCCCUGCUUUUGUGGGGUGCUCGAGUGGCGAACGGGUGAGUAACACGUGAGUAACCUGCCCUUGACUUUGGGAUAACUUCAGGAAACUGGGGCUAAUACCGGAUAGGAGCUCCUGCUGCAUGGUGGGGGUUGGAAAGUUUCGGCGGUUGGGGAUGGACUCGCGGCUUAUCAGCUUGUUGGUGGGGUAGUGGCUUACCAAGGCUUUGACGGGUAGCCGGCCUGAGAGGGUGACCGGCCACAGUGGGACUGAGAGACGGCCCAGACGGCUACGGUACGCAGCAGUGGGGAAUAUUGCAGAAUGGGCGGAAGCCUGAUGCAGCAACGCCGCGUGCGGGAUGACGGCCUUCGGGUUGUAAACCGCUUUCGCCUGAGACGAAGCGUGAGUGACGGUAAUGGGUAAAGAAGCACCGGCUAACUACGUG